RNAcentral lists this ribosomal RNA (777 nucleotides) under uncultured Neocallimastigales. RNAcentral's name for it is "partial large subunit ribosomal RNA". It matches the Rfam family "Eukaryotic large subunit ribosomal RNA", at positions 23 to 620 of the family's 3401-position model. The record is from RNAcentral. Lineage: Eukaryota; Fungi; Neocallimastigomycota; Neocallimastigomycetes; Neocallimastigales.
AGAGAGAGACAUGCGCGCAUAUCAAUAAGCGGAGGAAAAGAAACUAACAAGGAUUCCCUUAGUAACGGCGAGUGAAGCGGGAAGAGGCUCAAAUUUGAAAUCUUCAAGGUUUUACCUUGACGAAUUGUAGUUUAAAGAAGUGUUUUCUGCUGAAGUUUUGGUAAAAGUUCUUUGGAAUAGGACAUCAUAGAGGGUGAGAAUCCCGUAUUUGACCAUUAUUUUCAGCUUUGUGAUACACUUUCAAAGAGUCGGAUUGUUUGGGAAUGCAGUCCAAAAUGGGUGGUAAAUUUCAUCUAAAGCUAAAUAUUGGCGAGAGACCGAUAGCGAACAAGUACCGUGAGGGAAAGAUGAAAAGAACUUUGAAAAGAGAGUUAAACAGUACGUGAAAUUGUCAAAAGGGAAGCGUUUGACACCAGUGUUGUUUUCUCGAAAGUCAAUUAAAAAUGGCUCGAUUUUGUAUUGCUUGAGACCUUAAAAGCUCACUGUACAUUUUUCGUGUCUUUUUUAAUGCACUUUUCGUUUAACAAGUCAACAUCAGUUUCUUUUGUUGUAAAAGGGUCAUUGGAAGGUGGCUUUCUUUUCGGAGAAAGUGUUUAUAGCCUUUGGCCUCUGCAAUCGGAAGAGACUGAGGUCUGCAGCGUAGACUCUUCGGGGUUAGAUACAUUUGUGCUAAGUUAUAGCUUUUUAUAGACAACUUGUUGACUAUAAUUAGUCUUGUAGCUUACUCGCUUAUGCUAUUUUACCUACGCUUAGGAUGUUGAAGAUGUAGCACAUCAU